This is a long non-coding RNA of Nomascus leucogenys (northern white-cheeked gibbon), 969 nucleotides long. RefSeq lists it as uncharacterized. Lineage: Eukaryota; Metazoa; Chordata; Mammalia; Primates; Hylobatidae. The transcript is spliced from 2 exons. The record is from RefSeq and is a predicted model, not a curated record.
AUGAGUGAACGAUUGAGCAUGUAGAGAUUUUCUUUUGUGUUUUUAAGGAUUGCAUUUAUUUUAAACAAGAAUAUACUAUCCUUCAUCUAGUACAGAGGAAGGCAUCUACAAAACCGUGUGUCAAGUGCCAUGCCUGACGGUAUAGAAUGAUCGCGUCUUCGAGAAAGAACCGCUACCCUGGAACAGCUGUCAAGGCCCAGCACAACCCACACAUUCCGGGUUCACAAUAUGUGCCUAAAUCUUUUCAGAGGACAACUUUGACUUUAAAGAAGAGAUUCCAAGUGACAUCUUGAAACCACCUCACCAGAACCACUGGAGCACUCGUGGCCUCAGCACACUGCUUAUCACUUGAAAAAUGGAGGAACAAGUAUUAUAUUUAUCUGUGUGUCUGACAGUGUGAGAUGUUAGACUGAGAGAAAUGCAAACAAAUAAAUCACUUAAUCUUGAACACUUUGCAUUGUAAAGAGAGUGAAAGUCAAACCCACCAAGCUGCCUUGCUGAAAGCAUCUCCAAGGUUCUGUGGGCUUUGCUCAGAAGACCUUGAUGUGUGUUUGCAAUCUGUCAUUUUAUCAAUGAUACACAAACAUAAUUAGCAUGUGUAUGUACUCACACACUAAUUACGUGUAAGAAUAUAUUAUCUAGGAAUAUGCCAUUUAUAACUUUGUACUGUGACGUGUUUUCUAGUCUCAUCCUAUUAGUAAUUCUGUCAAAAUCCUAGACACUAGUAGAUAUUAGUAUUUGAGAUGAUAUGUCACAGUCUGAAUAAGACUCAGAUUGUUCUAGUCAUGCUGAGUUUCUCAUACAUUUUUUUAAAGUGCUUCCACCAUGAACCUCUUUGAGAAAUGUCAGUGGCGAAACCUCCCAAGCUAAUUUUCUUUUUCUAUGUUCCAUCUUCAAAUGCAGACAGUUCACGUGAAGUACCCCACAUUUAUUGAUCUUAGGGUUGAAUAUAAACGUAAUUAAAAGCUA